UGGGGAAUUUUGGACAAUGGGCGAAAGCCUGAUCCAGCAAUGCCGCGUGUGCGAAGAAGGCCUUCGGGUUGUAAAGCACUUUUGUCCGGAAAGAAAUCCGUCUGGCUAAUACCCGGAUGGGAUGACGGUACCGGAAGAAUAAGCACCGGCUAACUACGUGCCAGCAGCCGCGGUAAUACGAAGGGUGCAAGCGUUACUCGGAAUUACCGGGCGUAAAGCGUGCGUAGGUGGUUGUUUAAGUCUGAUGUGAAAGCCCUGGGCUCAACCUGGGAAUGGCAUUGGAAACUGGGCAGCUAGAGUGCGGUAGAGGGUAGUGGAAUUCCCGGUGUAGCAGUGAAAUGCGUAGAGAUCGGGAGGAACAUCUGUGGCGAAGGCGACUGCCUGGACCAGCACUGACACUGAGGCACGAAAGCGUGGGGAGCAAACA
This 427-nucleotide ribosomal RNA is filed under the name uncultured bacterium. RNAcentral's name for it is "bacterial SSU rRNA". It matches the Rfam family "Bacterial small subunit ribosomal RNA", at positions 355 to 774 of the family's 1533-position model. The record is from RNAcentral.